GAUGUGCUAUCACCAAGUACAAGUAGAUUAAUGGUGGAAUUGGUGAACCUUGUAAAUGAUUGUAUAUUCACUUUCUGUUCUAUAUCCUUUCUGAUGUGUUACUUAUUAGAUACACUAUAGAUUUGCAUCUUAAUGGUGGGCUUCCUUACUUCUUCUUUUCGUUGUUUGAUUCCAUUGUUUUAUAUUAUCACUUGAUGCUGUAAUUAAAAUUUAAUAUAUCGAUAAAAGUACUAUUUCUCGUAAAGACUUUCAGAUUCAUUAGUUGUCUU
This 269-nucleotide unclassified non-coding RNA is filed under the name Hevea brasiliensis (rubber tree). Lineage: Eukaryota; Viridiplantae; Streptophyta; Magnoliopsida; Malpighiales; Euphorbiaceae. The record is from RNAcentral.